AGAGUUUGAUCCUGGCUCAGGACGAACGCUGGCGGCGUGCCUAACACAUGCAAGUCGAACGAUAAGCCGGAGCUUGCUCCGGUGGACAGUGGCGAACGGGUGAGUAACACGUGAGAAACCUGCCCCAAAGACCGGGACAACCAUUGGAAACGAUGGCUAAUACCGGAUGCCCUCACAUGGCCGCAUGGCCGAGUGAGGAAAUGCUCAGGUGCUUUGGGAGGGUCUCGCGGCCUAUCAGCUAGUUGGUGAGGUAAUGGCUCACCAAGGCAUCGACGGGUAGCUGGUCUGAGAGGACGAUCAGCCACACUGGGACUGAGACACGGCCCAGACUCCUACGGGAGGCAGCAGUGGGGAAUCUUGCGCAAUGGGCGAAAGCCUGACGCAGCAACGCCGCGUGUGGGAUGACGGCUUUCGGGUUGUAAACCACUUUCAGGGAUGACGAAAAUGACGGUAAUCCCAGAAGAAGCUCCGGCCAACUACGUGCCAGCAGCCGCGGUAACACGUAGGGAGCAAGCGUUGUCCGGAUUUAUUGGGCGUAAAGAGCUCGUAGGCGGUUCCGUAAGUCGGAUGUGAAAACUCAGGGCUCAACCCUGAGACGCCAUCCGAUACUGCGGUGACUAGAGUCCGGUAGGGGAGCAUGGAAUUCCUGGUGUAGCGGUGGAAUGCGCAGAUAUCAGGAGGAACACCAGUGGCGAAGGCSGUGCUCUGGGCCGGUACUGACGCUGAGGAGCGAAAGCAUGGGUAGCAAACAGGAUUAGAUACCCUGGUAGUYCACGCUGUAAACGAUGAUCACUAGAUGUUACCUCUGCUUGCAGGGGUAGUAUCGUAGCUAACGCGUUAAGUGAUCCGCCUGGGGAGUACGGUCGCAAGACUAAAACUUAAAGGAAUUGACGGGGGUCCGCACAAGCGGUGGAACAUGUGGUUUAAUUCGAUACUACGCGAGAAACCUUACCUAGGCUUGACAUGCUUUUGGCGGCUGUAGAGAUACAGCUUUCUAGGUUUACCUAGACAAUUGCACAGGUGCUGCAUGGCUGUCGUCAGCUCGUGUCGUGAGAUGUUGGGUUAAGUCCCGCAACGAGCGCAACCCUCGCCUUUAGUUGCCAGCAUUUAGUUGGGCACUCUAGAGGGACUGCCGGUGAUAAGCCGGAGGAAGGUGGGGAUGACGUCAAGUCCUCAUGGCCCUUACGGGUAGGGCUACACACGUGCUACAAUGGCAGUGACAAUGGGUCGCGAUCUCGCAAGAGCUAGCUAAUCCCCAAAAACUGUCUCAGUUCGGAUUGUUCUCUGCAACUCGAGAGCAUGAAGUUGGAAUCGCUAGUAAUCGUGGAACAGCAUGCCACGGUGAAUACGUUCCCGGGCCUUGUACACACCGCCCGUCACACCAUGGGAGUUGGUUUUACCCGAAGGUGGUGCGCUAACCAGUUUACUGGAAGCAGCCAACCACGGUAAGGUCAGCGACUGGGGUGAAGUCGUAACAAGGUAGCU
Molecule: ribosomal RNA, 1485 nt
Filed under: uncultured bacterium
Lineage: Bacteria
Description: bacterial SSU rRNA
Rfam family: Bacterial small subunit ribosomal RNA
Source: RNAcentral